GGGUGAUAGCGAAGGCCAUAGGAUUGUGAGCUCUACUGCGUUGUGGAGGGGUGACCGCCGGCCAGCCCAAAUUGUCCAGGUAUCGCAGUUGGAGCAGGACAUUGAACGAGCACCUCAACAGGGAGAAAGUGGGCCCGUAGCAUUUGAUACAGAUUAUAUUCGAUGGUUAGAAGAACACGACAAACACAUCAAUGAGUUAAGGAACGCUGUCAAAUCACAUGCACGUGAUCCUGAACUGCGAAGAAUUGCGGAUAAUGUCACUGCACAUUACGAUG
RNAcentral lists this unclassified non-coding RNA (275 nucleotides) under Hevea brasiliensis (rubber tree). The record is from RNAcentral. Lineage: Eukaryota; Viridiplantae; Streptophyta; Magnoliopsida; Malpighiales; Euphorbiaceae.